This 274-nucleotide ribosomal RNA is filed under the name uncultured bacterium. Its description in RNAcentral is "partial 16S ribosomal RNA". It matches the Rfam family "Bacterial small subunit ribosomal RNA", at positions 523 to 796 of the family's 1533-position model. The record is from RNAcentral.
AUACGGAGGGUGCGAGCGUUAAUCGGAAUUACUGGGCGUAAAGCGUGCGUAGGCGGUUUGCUAAGUCAGAUGUGAAAGCCCCGGGCUUAACCUGGGAACUGCAUUUGAUACUGGCAGACUAGAGUAUGAUAGAGGGGGGUAGAAUUCCUGGUGUAGCGGUGAAAUGCGUAGAUAUCAGGAGGAAUACCAGUGGCGAAGGCGGCCCCCUGGAUCGAUACUGACGCUGAGGUACGAAAGCGUGGGGAGCGAACAGGAUUAGAUACCCUAGUAGUCC